CGGACGAUUUUAGUCAAAAUUUUCAAUAAUAAGCCCAAAUUAAUGGCCAUCAAGAACACAAAAACUGCGAUCACAUAACCAAUUAUAACAAAUAUCUCAAAUCCAAUUUCUACAUAUUAUUAUAGCAACCAACACUGUUAAAUUCCUUGGAAAUGUGCUUAGUUAUGCCCGAUUUGUCCGCCUACCGACCUGAAGGGCAAGGUCGAUGUCGAUCUUGAGGGAGAUAUCGAGCGCCUUCACAGAAUGCGUCAACGCCCCACUCGAAAUGUAAGUUACUCCAGUUCCUCCGAUUUUCUUCACUGUUUCGAGGGUCACAUUUCCAGAUGCCUCGGUUUCAAAUCUUCCGUUUAUCAGCUCAACUGCUUUCUUAAGCAUG
Molecule: unclassified non-coding RNA, 376 nt
Filed under: Hevea brasiliensis (rubber tree)
Lineage: Eukaryota; Viridiplantae; Streptophyta; Magnoliopsida; Malpighiales; Euphorbiaceae
Source: RNAcentral